This 1450-nucleotide ribosomal RNA is filed under the name uncultured organism. RNAcentral describes it as "SSU rRNA". It matches the Rfam family "Bacterial small subunit ribosomal RNA". The record is from RNAcentral.
UGGCUCAGGAUGAACGCUAGCUACAGGCUUAACACAUGCAAGUCGAGGGGCAGCAUCAUCAAAGCUUGCUUUGAUGGAUGGCGACCGGCGCACGGGUGAGUAACACGUAUCCAACCUGCCGACAACACUGGGAUAGCCUUUCGAAAGAAAGAUUAAUACCGGAUGGCAUAGUUUUCCCGCAUGGGAUAAUUAUUAAAGAAUUUCGGUUGUCGAUGGGGAUGCGUUCCAUUAGGCAGUUGGCGGGGUAACGGCCCACCAAACCAACGAUGGAUAGGGGUUCUGAGAGGAAGGUCCCCCACAUUGGAACUGAGACACGGUCCAAACUCCUACGGGAGGCAGCAGUGAGGAAUAUUGGUCAAUGGACGAGAGUCUGAACCAGCCAAGUAGCGUGAAGGAUGACUGCCCUAUGGGUUGUAAACUUCUUUUAUACGGGAAUAAAGUGAGCCACGUGUGGCUUUUUGUAUGUACCGUAUGAAUAAGGAUCGGCUAACUCCGUGCCAGCAGCCGCGGUAAUACGGAGGAUCCGAGCGUUAUCCGGAUUUAUUGGGUUUAAAGGGAGCGUAGGCGGGUUGUUAAGUCAGUUGUGAAAGUUUGCGGCUCAACCGUAAAAUUGCAGUUGAUACUGGCGACCUUGAGUGCAACAGAGGUAGGCGGAAUUCGUGGUGUAGCGGUGAAAUGCUUAGAUAUCACGAAGAACUCCGAUUGCGAAGGCAGCUUACUGGAUUGUAACUGACGCUGAUGCUCGAAAGUGUGGGUAUCAAACAGGAUUAGAUACCCUGGUAGUCCACACAGUAAACGAUGAAUACUCGCUGUUGGCGAUAUACAGUCAGCGGCCAAGCGAAAGCAUUAAGUAUUCCACCUGGGGAGUACGCCGGCAACGGUGAAACUCAAAGGAAUUGACGGGGGCCCGCACAAGCGGAGGAACAUGUGGUUUAAUUCGAUGAUACGCGAGGAACCUUACCCGGGCUUAAAUUGCAACUGACUGAACCGGAAACGGUUCUUUCUUCGGACAGUUGUGAAGGUGCUGCAUGGUUGUCGUCAGCUCGUGCCGUGAGGUGUCGGCUUAAGUGCCAUAACGAGCGCAACCCUUAUCGAUAGUUACUAGCAGGUCAUGCUGAGGACUCUAUUGAGACUGCCGUCGUAAGAUGUGAGGAAGGUGGGGAUGACGUCAAAUCAGCACGGCCCUUACGUCCGGGGCUACACACGUGUUACAAUGGGGGGUACAAAAGGCAGCUACACGGCGACGUGGUGCUAAUCCCGAAAGCCUCUCUCAGUUCGGAUUGGAGUCUGCAACCCGACUCCAUGAAGCUGGAUUCGCUAGUAAUCGCGCAUCAGCCACGGCGCAGUGAAUACGUUCCCGGGCCUUGUACACACCGCCCGUCAAGCCAUGAAAGCCGGGGGUACCUGAAGUACGUAACCGCAAGGAGCGUCCUAGGGUAAAACUGGUGAU